Molecule: ribosomal RNA, 3309 nt
Filed under: Triticum aestivum (bread wheat)
Lineage: Eukaryota; Viridiplantae; Streptophyta; Magnoliopsida; Poales; Poaceae
Description: partial small subunit ribosomal RNA
Source: RNAcentral
AUGGCAGGGACGGCGGUGAGCAUGGCGAGGUCCAUGCUGGGGGGUGCCAUCUGCAAGGCCGCCUCCGCCGCCGCCGCCGAGAUGAGCUUGUUGAUGGGACGACACCAACUGUUGUCCUACAUUUCUUAUGCAUAUUUGUUUGGCAGGUUCAUUAAAGAUGAGCUAGAGACGAUGCAGGCAUUUCUGCUGACUGCUGAAGCGAUUAAGAUGAAAGACAUUCUGCUGAAGGUGUGGGCGAAGCAGGUCAGAGACUUAUCAUACAAUAUUGAAGAUUGCCUUAGUGAAUUCAUGGUGCAUGUGAGAAGCCAAAGCUUGUCGCGGAGGCUGAUGAAGCUCAAAGACCGCCAUCAGAUCGCCAUGCAGAUCCGUGACCUCAAACUCAGAGUUGAAUUAGUAAGCAUUAGGAAUACACGCUACAACUUGAUCAAGACGGAGGCCUCCAACAACAUUGGGGAGGUGGAUUCCUACAGCGAAGAUGUCCGCAAUCACGCGGCUAGCAACAUUGAUGAAGCAGAACUUGUGGGCUUUUCCAAGCCUAGGGAGGAGUUGAUAAACCUGAUGGAUGUCAACACUGAAGAUGAUUUUCCUAAGGUGAUAUGUGUUGUCGGCAUGGGUGGUUUAGGAAAGACUACUAUUGCAAGGAAGACAUAUGAAAGUAAGGAAGAUAUUGUGCAGAAAUUUUCUUGUGUUGCUUGGGUCAUAGUAUCACAUUCGAUUUUCAAGGUAGAGAUGCUCAAGGGUAUGAUCGGGCAGCUUUUGGGACAUGAGUCACUGAAGAAAUGCUUGGAAGAACUUAAAGGCAAGGCAGUGCAAGUGGAUGACCUCUCCAAGUACCUCAUGGAAGAGCUCAAGGAUAAAAGGUAUUUUAUUGUUUUUGAUGACUUGUGGACCAUAGAUAUGUGGAGGUGGAUCAAAGAAUUAGCUUUUCCUAGCAGUAACAAGAAAGGUGGCGUCCUUGCCACAAAAAAGGUAGCUGAGUGGACACAAUUUUAUAAUCAUCUCCCUUCAGAGCUUGAGACUAAUCCAAGCCUUGAAGCAAUGAGGAGGAUGGUUACUCUGAGCUACAACUACCUACCAUCUCAUCUAAAGUCAUGCUUUUUGUACCUAAGCAUCUUUCCCGAGGAUUUUGAAAUUAAGAGGAGGUCUCUAGUAGAUAGAUGGAUAGCUGAGGGGUUCAUCAUCGCUAGGGGCAGGGUAAACAUUGAGGAUAUUGGAAAAUUUUAUUUCAUUGAGCUAAUCAACCGAAACAUGAUUAUACCAUCAAGAGUGAAUGUGGAAGGAACAGUUAAGAGCUGUCGAGUCCAUGAUGUCAUGCGUGAUGUCAUGAUCUCAAUUGCUAGAGAUGAAAAUUUUGUGUACUUGUCCACCGACGAUAAUGUAAAUAGUGUAGCAGAGGAGAACUUUCGUCAUGUAUCAUACCAUGGUAGAAAGUGCCUCAAGGAAUGCAUAGAUUGGAGGCAUGUCCGGUCAUUAAGCAUGUUUGGUGAGAAACCCAUAGUGCCACCUGCUCCCCUGUUUCCACCUAGCAUGAGAAUGCUUAGAGCCCUGGAUGUACAUAGUGCACAUUUUGGAAUCACACAAAAAGAUAUCAAGGACAUAGGAGUGUUACGCCACUUGAAGUAUUUGAAUAUUGGGAGUGUUAAUGCACAUCCAUAUAUUUAUAGAAUUCCAAGAUCUAUAGGAAUAUUAGAAGGCUUGCAGACUUUGGAGAUAAGAAUCACAGAUGUAUCAGCGAUACCAAAUGAGAUUUGUAACCUUGUGAGUCUCCGUAGCAUCCGGUGUAGAAAAACAUAUUGGUUGUAUUAUAUUGGUGAGCCCUCUAUGGGAUGUUUGAUGGACAUGAUGUAUCAUCAGAUGAUUACUUGUAAUUCUCAUGAAAAAGCAUUGAAGCCACGCAUGCCUUGCUUUAGGCAUUGGUCAAUAUACAAAGGUGUAAGUGUGCCGAGAGGGAUUAGCAAGUUACAAGAGUUACAAACACUAGAGGUUGUGGACAUCAAACGGAGUGAUGCCAAUGCAAUUAAAGAGCUAGGUGAGCUUGUGCAGCUAAAAAAACUUGGGGUGGUAACGAAAGAGGCCACCGAGCAAAAAUGCAAGCUACUUUGUGCAGCUAUCGAGAAGUUCACUUCCCUAUGCUCUCUUAACGUGGAUGCUGACCAACAUGGCUCUCUUGAGUGGCUGCAUUCUGUGUCAUAUCCUCCCCUACUCAUGAGGAGCCUCAAGCUGGUUGGACGUCUUGGAGAAAUGCCAGACUGGAUUGGAAGUUUGACACAUUUAGUGAAGAUUUAUCUAGGGCAUAGCGAGCUGAAAGGUGAGAAAACCAUGAAAUUGUUAGGUGCACUGCCCAGCCUUAUGCUCCUUCGUCUUCGUCAGAGUGCUUAUGUUGGGAAGAGUCUAGUCUUUGGAGCAAGAGCAUUCCCAAAUCUCAGGGAACUAGAUAUUUUUUACCCGGAUCGAGUGAGAGAGGUGAUAUUCGAAGAGGACACCUCGCACCAGCUGGAAAAGAUACAAUUCCGUGGCGGCCGAUGUGUGGAAUUUAUUGGCAUCAAACAUCUCGCAAGGGUCAAGGAGAUUUCACUUGGUUUGGGGGCUAGAGUGGCGAAGCUUGGUGUGCUGCAAGGGGAAGUGGAGGCACACCCCAACCAUCCCCUGCUGCGACUAACAGAGGUCUGGAGAAUGCAUAACAUAGACCCCUCUGUAUAUGAAGCGCGGGAGGAAGGAUUGGCUAAUUUUCGAAGGCAGCAACAGCAGGAGAGAUCCGCUCAUAAUCGCAAGUGGUGGCCAUGGCGACGACGGGCGCAAUCAGAAACUACUCCUAUUGUUGAAGGCAACUGGCAAGGAUCAAAUGGGGCGAAGCUUGGGGAAAAUGCCAUGGACUACCCCACACAAGAUGCUACUACGUACCACAAAGCUGCGUAUGAUGUUAUGCUGCACUUGCACAUCACGUUCAACUUCCUUACAAGUUUCGGGUUGAUUAUUUCCUCUCUGACGUUAUACAGGGGAGAAGAUGUGGAGAUCCAAUACACUGUACUAUACAAGAUGCUACUGCUAAGCUGCUUAUGUUGUUAUUCUGCAAUUGGUCAUCAGGUUGAACCUUGCAAGUUUGCUGCUAGUUACCUCCUGAUGUUUUUACGGUCCAAAUGGAAGAGGAGUGACACAUAUCUUAUGGGUAUCGGUGGAACAGAGGCGAGCAAGAUCUCUGAUCGAAAGUACAAGUGGCAACUACUAGCCCAAAUAAUUGUAAAUUGUUUGGAAAAGAUCAUGGAACGGAUGAUCAAUCUGAUGAGAAGACCUGCAAUUGUGAAUACAUAG